AUUGAACGCUGCGGCAGGCUUAACACAUGCAAGUCGAGCGAGCGGCGGACGGGUGAGUAAUGCUUAGGAAUCUGCCUAUUAGUGGGGGACAACAUCUCGAAAGGGAUGCUAAUACCGCCUACUAAUAGAUGAGCCUAAGUCGGAUUAGCUAGUUGGUGGGGUAAAGGCCUACCAAGGCGACGAUCUGUAGCGGGUCUGAGAGGAUGAUCAGCCACACUGGGACUGAGACACGGCCCAGACUCCUACGGGAGGAAGCAGUGGGGAAUAUUGGACAAUGGGGGGAACCCUGAUCCAGCCAUGCCGCGUGAGUGAUGACGGCCUUCGGGUUGUAAAGCUCGUUAAUCGGGACGACGGUACCGGAAUAGAAAGCCACGGCUAACUACGUGCCAGCAGCCGCGGUAAUAC
This 405-nucleotide ribosomal RNA is filed under the name uncultured bacterium. RNAcentral's name for it is "partial 16S ribosomal RNA". It matches the Rfam family "Bacterial small subunit ribosomal RNA", at positions 30 to 526 of the family's 1533-position model. The record is from RNAcentral.